GGAAGAUAAGGGGGGCGUUCUUUGAGGAGAACAGAGAGUAUGGCAAAGCAGACAAGUUCACCACGCUGUCCAGACUUAAAACAAGAAAGAACUCAAACUGUCGUGAAAUCUUAAUCGGAGUAGAUCAGAAAAAGAAAACAGCUGAACAAGAAGAGAGAAUAGCUCACAAGUGUGGAUACAUGUUACGCAUGCCCUACUACCCAGAUGCAGAGUCCCCUUUCAACCAGACGCAAUACUUCAUUCAGAAGGGCAAAAAUCGGGUGGCUGGAAUUGCGAAUUUCUACCUCAAAUACAACGUCACACAACCCGUUCAUAAGCCGCCUGCACCCCCGGCAAGAAAACCAAAACAAACGAGAGAUAAUCGCGUCUUCGAAUUAUUGUCUGCCAAAAAACGCAAGUUAUCUGUUUGACUUGUAUUUUUCACAGACACAUCACGCGCCCCUUUAAAGGAUGAGGAAUUGAUGCCCCUAAUCAUGGACCUUUUGGUUAUCUAUGAAAACAUUAUAAUAUAUUCGGAUCAAAGAUAUCAGAAAGGAAAUUGAGCAUUUUGAUCGGCCGCUCAGUAAUCUGCACAAAGAAUCUUCACUUGCUUCUUUCAACUGGAGUUUUUGAUCUUGAAUUAAAAAUCAAUU
Molecule: long non-coding RNA, 632 nt
Organism: Symsagittifera roscoffensis
Lineage: Eukaryota; Metazoa; Xenacoelomorpha; Acoela; Convolutidae
Exons: 3
Source: RefSeq, a predicted model, not a curated record